This is a long non-coding RNA of Alligator sinensis (Chinese alligator), 386 nucleotides long. RefSeq lists it as uncharacterized. The transcript has 3 exons. NCBI's taxonomy places the organism in Eukaryota, Metazoa, Chordata, Crocodylia, Alligatoridae. The record is from RefSeq and is a predicted model, not a curated record.
UCACCCUAUUUGUAUCUCUUGUGUCUGUGUAGUUUCUGAAGAUGCUGUGGGCUCGCAGAUGACUUUCUCCAAGACCAGUCCCAUUCCCAGUCUUUGGAAACCUCUUGCAGCUCAACUUUAAAUUUGAUCAUGAGGGCCUCAAAAAGCCAUAUCAGUGGAACUAGCUGAAAAUUAUAAAAUUUGUAAACUCAGUAGGGGCAAGAAGAAAAAUUCAGAGGAAACAUCUUUGAAGUGUUUAUGGAGCCAAAUCACGAGGUAUUACGUUCCCAAUGGUCGAGCCUGGAAGCAGCAGAGACGUUUUUGAUUCGUAAAUCAUGAUCCUGCAGAAACUGGGAACGGGGAAGGAGCACCGAAUACAGGAGGAGGCCUGCCACGAGGUGGAGCAC